Molecule: ribosomal RNA, 253 nt
Filed under: uncultured bacterium
Lineage: Bacteria
Description: partial 16S ribosomal RNA
Rfam family: Bacterial small subunit ribosomal RNA
Source: RNAcentral
UACGUAGGGUGCAAGCGUUAAUCGGAAUUACUGGGCGUAAAGCGUGCGCAGGCGGUUUUGUAAGUUUGUCGUGAAAGCCCCGGGCUCAACCUGGGAAUUGCGAUGAAGACUGCAAGGCUUGAAUCUGGCAGAGGGGGGUAGAAUUCCACGUGUAGCAGUGAAAUGCGUAGAGAUGUGGAGGAACACCGAUGGCGAAGUCAGCCCCCUGGGUCAAGAUUGACGCUCAUGCACGAAAGCGUGGGGAGCAAACAGG